AACGAACGCUGGCGGCAUGCCUAACACAUGCAAGUCGAACGAGACCUUCGAGUCUAGUGGCGCACGGGUGCGUAACGCGUGAGAACCUGCCCUUAGGUUCGGAAUAACUCCCCGAAAGGGGUGCUAAUACCGGAUAAUGUCUUCGGACCAAAGAUUUAUCGCCUUUGGAUGGGCCCGCGUUGGAUUAGCUAGUUGGUAGGGUAAAAGCCUACCAAGGCGACGAUCCAUAGCUGGUCUGAGAGGAUGAUCAGCCACACUGGGACUGAGACACGGCCCAGACUCCUACGGGAGGCAGCAGUGGGGAAUAUUGGACAAUGGGCGAAAGCCUGAUCCAGCAAUGCCGCGUGAGUGAUGAAGGCCUUAGGGUUGUAAAGCUCUUUUACCCGGGAUGAUAAUGACAGUACCGGGAGAAUAAGCUCCGGCUAACUCCGUG
This 433-nucleotide ribosomal RNA is filed under the name uncultured bacterium. RNAcentral describes it as "partial 16S ribosomal RNA". It matches the Rfam family "Bacterial small subunit ribosomal RNA", at positions 29 to 507 of the family's 1533-position model. The record is from RNAcentral.